Molecule: ribosomal RNA, 468 nt
Filed under: uncultured bacterium
Lineage: Bacteria
Description: partial 16S ribosomal RNA
Rfam family: Bacterial small subunit ribosomal RNA
Source: RNAcentral
GACGAACGCUGGCGGCGUGCUUAACACAUGCAAGUCGAACGGAAAGGCCCUGCUUUUGUGGGGUGCUCGAGUGGCGAACGGGUGAGUAACACGUGAGUAACCUGCCCUUGACUUUGGGAUAACUUCAGGAAACUGGUGCUAAUACCGGAUAGGAGCUCCUGCUGCAUGGUGGGGGUCGGAAAGUUUCGGGGGUUGGGGAUGGACUCGCGGCUUAUCAGCUUGUUGGUGGGGUAGUGGCUUACCAAGGCUUUGACGGGUAGGCGGCCUGGGAGGGUGACCGGCCACAAUGGGACUAAGGUACGGACCAGACUCCUACGGGAGGCAGCAGUGGGGAAUAUUGCACAAUGGGCGGAAGCCUGAUGCAGCAACGCCGCGUGCGGGAUGACGGCCUUCGGGUUGUAAACCGCUUUCGCCUGUGACGAAGCGUGAGUGACGGUAAUGGGUAAAGAAGCACCGGCUAACUACGUG